CACCAAUCAAGCCUGGCUUGGUCUUGGGGCACGGGGGUGACCCGGCCCUCAACGUCUCCGGCUGGAGCGUCCCGAUCGCAGCGUUGUGGCACACAUGUUCGCUGGUGAGACGGGCGGUCCGCGGCCGCGAAACCCAUCACA
RNAcentral lists this unclassified non-coding RNA (141 nucleotides) under uncultured fungus. Its description in RNAcentral is "sequence contains ITS2". The record is from RNAcentral. Lineage: Eukaryota; Fungi.